This 495-nucleotide ribosomal RNA is filed under the name uncultured bacterium. RNAcentral's name for it is "partial 16S ribosomal RNA". It matches the Rfam family "Bacterial small subunit ribosomal RNA", at positions 28 to 507 of the family's 1533-position model. The record is from RNAcentral.
GACGAACGCUGGCGGCGUGCCUAAUACAUGCAAGUAGAACGCUGAAGGAGGAGCUUGCUUCUCCGGAUGAGUUGCGAACGGGUGAGUAACGCGUAGGUAACCUGCCUGGUAGCGGGGGAUAACUAUUGGAAACGAUAGCUAAUACCGCAUAAGAGUAGAUGUUGCAUGACAUUUGCUUAAAAGGUGCAAUUGCAUCACUACCAGAUGGACCUGCGUUGUAUUAGCUAGUUGGUGAGGUAACGGCUCACCAAGGCGACGAUACAUAGCCGACCUGAGAGGGUGAUCGGCCAAACUGGGAAUGAGAAACGGCCCAGACUCCUACGGGAGGCAGCAGUAGGGAAUCUUCGGCAAUGGACGGAAGGCUGACCGAGCAACGCCGCGGGAGUGAAGAAGGUUUUCGGAUCGUAAAGCUCUGUUGUAAGAGAAGAACGAGUGUGAGAGUGGAAAGUUCACACUGUGACGGUAUCUUACCAGAAAGGGACGGCUAACUACGUG